UACCAGUAACGUAGCGUAGCCGUAACCGCAACGGGGGCGGUUACCACGGUAGGAUUCGUGACUGGGGUG
RNAcentral lists this ribosomal RNA (69 nucleotides) under uncultured bacterium. RNAcentral describes it as "partial 16S ribosomal RNA". The record is from RNAcentral.